CCUACGGGUGGCAGCAGUAGGGGAUAUUGCACAAUGGGGGAAACCCUGAUGCAGCAACGCCGCGUGGGGGAUGAAGUUUUUCGGUUUGUAAAGUCCUUUUGUCAGGGAAGAUAAUGACGGUAUCUGACGAAUAAGCCCCGGCUAACUACGUGCCAGCAGCCGCGGUAAUACGUAGGGUGCAAGCGUUACCCGGAUUUACUGGGCGUAAAGAGCGCGUAGGCGGGUAAGUAAGUCAGGUGUGAAAUCCCAUGGCUCAACCCCGGGACUGCAUUGGAAACUGUUUUACUGGAGUAUAGGAGGGGCAGGCGGAAUUCCUGGUGUAGGGGUGAAAUGCGUAGAGAUCAAGAGGAAUAC
This 354-nucleotide ribosomal RNA is filed under the name uncultured bacterium. Its description in RNAcentral is "partial 16S ribosomal RNA". It matches the Rfam family "Bacterial small subunit ribosomal RNA", at positions 338 to 709 of the family's 1533-position model. The record is from RNAcentral.